Rattus norvegicus (Norway rat) is the source of this 999-nucleotide non-coding RNA. Lineage: Eukaryota; Metazoa; Chordata; Mammalia; Rodentia; Muridae. The record is from RefSeq and is a predicted model, not a curated record.
UCCAGCCUCGUGCGUCCCGGAGUCCCGGCUUUAUAGGGCUGCUGGCUGCUGCGCCUGCCUGCUCGCCGCUUCCGGGCUGACAGUGUGGGCUGCAGGCAGCGGCCGGCCCAGGACGCUGAGAAGAUGACAAGGAGUGGCUGAACCCCAGGGCUCAGCCUGGACAGUCGACCACUGACUGCACGGGAGACGCCCUCGCCCAGGACAGAGUUCAAAGACAGGAGAAUCACCCUCGUUUGGAUGCAAAUUAUUCUCUGCCGCUCUCCACUCAGCUUCACGCGAGGUGGAAGGCGCCCAGCGAGCAGCGAUUAAGCCGUUCCGCCCCUCGGGGAACCUCACCACUCCCUGCGGUGGCUUCUGGCUCAAGCCGCGCCUCUAAGGAUCUACCCUAGUGGGCCGGUGGUUCUGCGAGUGACAGGACCUACGCUUUCCGCUCCACCCGACAGUGACCCGGGGCAUCCCGUGAGCGCCCCCUGCCCGUGACUCCGGCACUUGCUGCAGUUCGCAGCCUCUACGAGCCCGGGAGCGCCCGGCCGCGCGACACCGACCGGGUCAGGAUCAAGGUCUUGGUCCGGCUGCCGUGCCACUCCCUGGGGCUGGGACCCAGGGAACAUGCGGGUCGCGCAAGCGUGAACUUGGGCAGCCUGUGCGGGUGCCGCCGCCGACGCCGGGGAGGAGACUGAGCGCAACCCGGUGCUGGUACUAUGCAGGCCGCAGUUGUGCGGCCCCGGGUCUCCGCAGCGCCAGCCAUGUGGGAGCUCACCUCAUUUAGCUCAGCGUUUUAGACUGAGUUUUCGAAUGGCUCUUUGGAGGCCGCGAGCCUUAGCACCAGAGUGUAGGGAAGCAGGUUCGCUCUGGUAUGUGCUGCCGCGGUGGAGGAAUUUCUGACCUCUGCGUUAACAACCUCGCCUGUUCCCCAUAUUUUGAGGACAAACAUGACAAGCUGUGACAUCCCCCAAAUGCUUUGGAUUUAUCUACACAGAGCUGACAUUGUCAUACCUA